Molecule: long non-coding RNA, 327 nt
Filed under: Triticum aestivum (bread wheat)
Lineage: Eukaryota; Viridiplantae; Streptophyta; Magnoliopsida; Poales; Poaceae
Description: long non-coding RNA (TAES_LNC013647)
Source: RNAcentral
CUCUACUUAAUUAAUAUAAGUGAAGUAAAUAAUGAAAGAGAUAUGGCCUGAGCGUCGAGGUCGGCCCGGUGAAGUGGUCGCGUGGUAAUGCUGACAAAGGGAUGUACGCCGAGGCGACUCCCCAAUCGUAGGCAGGACGACGUUGUUGGCCCCAUAGAGUUGACCGCGUGACGUAGUCAAAGGUGAUUACCUGCGCACAUAAAAUAGUGCAGUCCAAAAAUAAAAAAUCUUCUAUUUAAUUGACAUACGUGAUUUUUUUUGAAUAAAUAUGACCUGGGCGACAAGGUCAGCCCGGCGGAGCCGCAAUGUGAAAAAGUUGACACAGGG